GGGGAAUCUUGGACAAUGGGCGCAAGCCUGAUCCAGCCAUGCCGCGUGAGUGAAGAAGGUCUUCGGAUUGUAAAGCUCUUUUGCCAGGGACGAUAAUGACGGUACCUGGAGAAUAAGCCCCGGCAAACUUCGUGCCAGCAGCCGCGGUAAUACGAAGGGGGCUAGCGUUGUUCGGAAUUACUGGGCAUAAAGCGCACGUAGGCGGGUCGUUAAGUCAGGGGUGAAAUCCCGGAGCUCAACUCCGGAACUGCCUUUGAUACUGGCGAUCUCAAGAUCAAAAAAGAUAAGUGAAAUUCCCAGUGUAGAAGUGAAAUUCAUAGAUAUUGGGAAGAACACCAGUGGCGAAGGCGGCUCACUGGUCCGAUACUGACGCUGAGGGGCGAAAGCGUGGGGAGCAAAC
RNAcentral lists this ribosomal RNA (400 nucleotides) under uncultured bacterium. Its description in RNAcentral is "bacterial SSU rRNA". It matches the Rfam family "Bacterial small subunit ribosomal RNA", at positions 356 to 773 of the family's 1533-position model. The record is from RNAcentral.